GGCCUAGCUCAGUUGGUUAGAGCACCUGACUCCUAAUCAGGUGGUCCCUGGUUUCGAAGCCAGGUGGGCCA
Molecule: transfer RNA, 71 nt
Filed under: Chitinophagaceae bacterium
Lineage: Bacteria; Pseudomonadati; Bacteroidota; Chitinophagia; Chitinophagales; Chitinophagaceae
Description: tRNA-Arg
Rfam family: tRNA
About the family: Transfer RNA (tRNA) molecules are approximately 80 nucleotides in length.
Source: RNAcentral